Molecule: small nucleolar RNA, 206 nt
Filed under: Oryzias latipes (Japanese medaka)
Lineage: Eukaryota; Metazoa; Chordata; Actinopteri; Beloniformes; Adrianichthyidae
Description: Small nucleolar RNA U3 (ENSORLG00015019127.1)
Rfam family: Small nucleolar RNA U3
About the family: Small nucleolar RNAs (snoRNAs) are involved in the processing and modification of rRNA in the nucleolus. There are two main classes of snoRNAs: the box C/D class, and the box H/ACA class. U3 snoRNA is a member of the box C/D class.
Source: RNAcentral
AAGACUCUACUUUCAGGGAUCAUUUCUUUAGUCUGGAACUAGAGGAUUGUGUUUCUACAGAGGUUGGUCUGGCUGUCCAUGAUGAUGAAUGAAGAUGUUUCCUUCAGAGCAGGAAGCUGGUGAGAAGAUGAGAAUCUUCUUCACUGAUGAAGACUGUUCAGAGUUUCUGGAUGUGACACUGAAGGAGGAAACAUUGUCUGAGUGGA